Molecule: ribosomal RNA, 253 nt
Filed under: uncultured bacterium
Lineage: Bacteria
Description: partial 16S ribosomal RNA
Rfam family: Bacterial small subunit ribosomal RNA
Source: RNAcentral
UACGAAGGGGGCUAGCGUUGCUCGGAUUGACUGGGCGUAAAGGGCGCGUAGGCGGUUCGUACAGUCAGACGUGAAAUUCCUGGGCUCAACCUGGGGGCUGCGUUUGAUACGUGCGGGCUUGAGUGCGGGAGAGGGAAGCGGAAUUCCUGGUGUAGAGGUGAAAUUCGUAGAUAUCAGGAGGAACACCGGUGGCGAAAGCGGCUUCCUGGCCCGACAUUGACGCUCAUGUACGAAAGCGUGGGGAGCAAACAGG